UACGGAGGGAGCUAGCGUUGUUCGGAAUUACUGGGCGUAAAGCGCACGUAGGCGGCUUAGUAAGUUAGAGGUGAAAGCCCGGAGCUCAACUCCGGAAUUGCCUUUAAGACUGCAUCGCUAGAAUUGUGGAGAGGUAAGUGGAAUUCCGAGUGUAGAGGUGAAAUUCGUAGAUAUUCGGAAGAACACCAGUGGCGAAGGCGACUUACUGGACACAUAUUGACGCUGAGGUGCGAAAGCGUGGGGAGCAAACAGG
Molecule: ribosomal RNA, 253 nt
Filed under: uncultured bacterium
Lineage: Bacteria
Description: partial 16S ribosomal RNA
Rfam family: Bacterial small subunit ribosomal RNA
Source: RNAcentral